GAUAAUUGAGUUGUAAGUUUCCUGACUCAAUUAUUUCUCAGGCACAGGGAGGAGUUUACUGUAUGUAUAAAUUGAGAAUGCUUGCCUGCAUUAAACAGAAUUCAGUCAGCGAUAUUUAGAGCUACUUUACUUUGGGAAAGGGAAUCUGUGGCAGCGAUAUACUGGCUAGGCCAGUCAUGACCAAAGUCCGGCCCGCAGGCCAUUUGCGGCCCAAGUUCCGGUCUAAUACGGCCCCACAGUUACUUUGGUAAAUCUAACCAUUGUGGCCCCC
Non-coding RNA from Pelobates cultripes (western spadefoot toad), 271 nucleotides. The record is from the annotation of a GenBank genome assembly. NCBI's taxonomy places the organism in Eukaryota, Metazoa, Chordata, Amphibia, Anura, Pelobatidae.